GCAAGUCUGGUGCCAGCAGCCGCGGUAAUUCCAGCUCCAAUAGCGUAUAUUAAAGUUGUUGCAGUUAAAAGCUCGUAGUUGAAUUUCGGGGUUAGUAGGUUGGUCAUGCCUCUGGUAUGUACUGGUCUCACUGAUUCCUCCUUCCUUAUGAACCGUAAUGCCAUUAAUUUGGUGUUGCGGGGAAUUUGGACUGUUACUUUGAAAAAAUUAGAGUGUUUAAAGCAGGCUAACGCUUGAAUACAUUAGCAUGGAAUAAUAGAAUAGGACGUGUGGUUCUAUUUUGUUGGUUUCUAGGACCGCCGUAAUGAUUAAUAGGGAUAUCGGGGGCAUCAGUAUUCAAUUGUCAGAGGUGAAAUUCUUGGAUUUAUUGAAGACUAACUACUGCGAAAGCAUUUGCCAAGGAUGUUUUCAUUAAUCAGAAACGAAAGUUAGGGGAUCGAAGACGAUCAGAUACCGUCGUAGUCUUAACCAUAAACUAUGCCGACUUGGGAUCGGACGAUGUUAUUUUUUGACUCGUUCGGCGCCUUACGGGAAAC
Molecule: ribosomal RNA, 536 nt
Filed under: uncultured Glomus
Lineage: Eukaryota; Fungi; Glomeromycota; Glomeromycetes; Glomerales; Glomeraceae
Description: SSU rRNA
Rfam family: Eukaryotic small subunit ribosomal RNA
Source: RNAcentral